GUAGGUGGCAAGCGUUGUCCGGAAUUAUUGGGCGUAAAGCGCGCGCAGGCGGUCCUUUAAGUCUGAUGUGAAAGCCCACGGCUCAACCGUGGAGGGUUAUUGGAAACUGGGGGACUUGAGUACAGAAGAGGAAAGCGGAAUUCCAAGUGUAGCGGUGAAAUGCGUAGAGAUUUGGAGGAACACCAGUGGCGAAGGCGGCUUUCUGGUCUGUAACUGACGCUGAGGCGCGAAAGCGUGGGGAGCAAACAGGAUUAGAUACCCUGGUAGUCCACGCCGUAAACGAUGAGUGCUAAGUGUUAGGGGGUUUCCCGCCCCCCUUAGUGCUGCAGCUAACGCAUUAAGCACUCCGCCUGGGGGAGUACGGCCGCAAGGCUG
Molecule: ribosomal RNA, 375 nt
Filed under: uncultured organism
Description: partial 16S ribosomal RNA
Rfam family: Bacterial small subunit ribosomal RNA
Source: RNAcentral